AACGAACGCUGGCGGCAGGCUUAACACAUGCAAGUCGAACGCCCCGCAAGGGGAGUGGCAGACGGGUGAGUAACGCGUGGGAAUCUACCUAGUCCUACGGAACAACUCAGGGAAACUUGUGCUAAUACCGUAUACGCCCUACGGGGGAAAGAUUUAUCGGAAUUAGAUGAGCCCGCGUUGGAUUAGCUAGUUGGUGGGGUAAUGGCCUACCAAGGCGACGAGCCAUAGCUGGUCUGAGAGGAUGAUCAGCCACACUGGGACUGAGACACGGCCCAGACUCCUACGGGAGGCAGCAGUGGGGAAUAUUGGACAAUGGGCGAAAGCCUGAUCCAGCCAUGCCGCGUGAGUGAUGAAGGCCUUAGGGUUGUAAAGCUCUUUCAGUAGGGAAGAUAAUGACGGUACCUACAGAAGAAGCCCCGGCUAACUUCGUGCCAGCCGCCGCCGUAA
RNAcentral lists this ribosomal RNA (447 nucleotides) under uncultured bacterium. Its description in RNAcentral is "partial 16S ribosomal RNA". It matches the Rfam family "Bacterial small subunit ribosomal RNA", at positions 29 to 523 of the family's 1533-position model. The record is from RNAcentral.